RNAcentral lists this ribosomal RNA (481 nucleotides) under uncultured bacterium. RNAcentral's name for it is "bacterial SSU rRNA". It matches the Rfam family "Bacterial small subunit ribosomal RNA", at positions 328 to 793 of the family's 1533-position model. The record is from RNAcentral.
UGACAGUACUCCUACGGGGAGGCAGCAGUGGGGGAAGUAUUGCACAAUGGGCGCAAGCCUGAUGCAGCCAUGCCGCGUGUGUGAAGAAGGACCUUCGGGUUGUUAAAGCACUUUCAGUCGUGAGGAAGGUAGUGUAGUUAAUAGCUGCAGUAUUUGACGUUAGCGACAGAAGAAGCACCGGCUAACUCCGUGCCAGCAGCCGCGGUAAUACGGAGGGUGCGAGCGUUAAUCGGAAUUACUGGGCGUAAAGCGCAUGCAGGUGGUUUGUUAAGUCAGAUGUGAAAGCCCGGGGCGUCAACCUCGGAAUAGCAUUUGAAACUGGCAGACUAGAGUACUGUAGAGGGGGGUAGGAAUUUCAGGUGUAGCGGUGAAAUGCGUAGAGAUCUGAAGGAAUACCGGUGGCGAAGGCGGCCCCCUCGGACAGAUACUGACACUCAGAUGCGAAAGCGUGGGGAGCAAACAGGAUUAGAUACCCUGGUAG